RNAcentral lists this long non-coding RNA (642 nucleotides) under Numida meleagris (helmeted guineafowl). RNAcentral describes it as "lncRNA (ENSNMEG00000004030.1)". The record is from RNAcentral. Lineage: Eukaryota; Metazoa; Chordata; Aves; Galliformes; Numididae.
UCUAAAUCUAAAUCCCAGCUAAAGUCAGCCAAACGGAGGAAACUUAUCACUGCAGUAUUCUGUCUCUUUAGCAACGACCCUAGUUCUAAUUUUUCACAUAGCUAUUGGUGACAGUGCUGGAUCAGACCCACAAGAUCAAAGCAUCUGGGAGGAUGGUGAUGUAGGAGUUGCAGACAGAUGAAUAAAAGCAGCCAGCUUACUGCCUUUAUGAGUUACUACUGUCUAGCAGCUGAGCUCUGGAAAGAAAAUUUCUGACAAGGCAGACUGGAAUUCAUGAAGUGAGGAAAAUGAGGACUAUCUAGGUGCUAUAUCAUGAGUAAUUAGAAUGGCAUGCUUGUAUUAUCUGCCUGCAAGUGAAGGAUUUUGUAGACACGGAAGAGAUUUGCAGCAUGGGAUUUCUUCAAGAUACGUUCCACACUGCAAGAGUAAGGAUGAGGAAAAAUGAGCUUGAGGGAACACAGCAUCAACCAGGAAAUACCAUCCUGAAAGAAAUAAAUGUUGAUCUUCUACAUGCUACAUAAAAGGUUGCUCUGUUGCAGUUUAAAUGCUGUCCUAUAAAGGACAGAAAUAUUUCUCACAAUAUGCUGAGUUGUGCAUGGUGUUCAAAAAUACUUCAAAUAAAGCAAACUGUUCAAGCCUGAU